ACCAGGACAUUGUCAUCCAGGAAGAGGAUGCGAUUAGGCUGAAGAUUGUUGGAACCCGAGUGGACAAGAACAAUAUUUUUGCAAUCGGAUCGCUCAUGGAUGACUACCUUGGUCUGGUCAGUUGAAGCUCCCAAUUCCUGGAUCUGUUUUCCUUCUCCUCGGUUCCAACGUUCCAACACAGUCCUUGGCUCCCUGUGGAGGAAUCUGGCUUGUAGCUCUCCUGUCCCUGUAUUGACAGCAUUGAGGUCUCUUCUCUGGCAGCCGGGAAAUGAAGGCUGGCCGCGUACAACUCUGUUUCUUCAUUAAAAUGUUUGUUUUGUGAUUAAAAUGGCUUAAUCCUUUGUACCUCUUUU
Long non-coding RNA from Gekko japonicus, 353 nucleotides. RefSeq lists it as uncharacterized. The transcript is spliced from 3 exons. The record is from RefSeq and is a predicted model, not a curated record. Lineage: Eukaryota; Metazoa; Chordata; Lepidosauria; Squamata; Gekkonidae.